GUGACCAGACCCUUAAGUAAAUGUUGCACUCAUAUUUAAGAUCGUAUUCAGAAAUGCUUGGCUCUCCCACUACGACUAUUUUCAAAGGACACAGAGAUGGUUAGUUGGCUUCUCAAGAAUCAAGAGUGUUUCUCCUAUUAAUGAUGCAGAAACCCUGUUAAUCUCCUAUUAGAAUCAUAAAAAAAAAAAAACUCAUUUCAACCAGAACCUCUAGAAAGUAGCGAAAACGCGGAGCUAAAGUGUUUCAGAUUACAGUUAGAUGCAGGAAGUUUUACAGAGUACUAAGUAACGAAACAUUGUGAUCUUAUGGUAAAUCACGAAUCCCUUUGCCUUCAUGGUAUCAUUUUCUACUCUUGAGGUCACUUUCCUGUCCUCCCCUCCUAGGCUGAUUGGUGUCAGUCGUAGAUAUUAAUGAGCUUUGCAACCCCGUCCAGCAUUAUUCUGUAUCUUGACAUGGGACGGUAAGAUUCCUUGUAACUGUACUGGGUAUCGAUAACUCAAUAGAUUGGUCUCAAAGGUACUCGUAUAUAUUAUAGGGCGUCGAGCGCGUGCUGUUGCUAUCUGCCCAAGUUCCACGUAUUUGUAGUUACUCUUCUAGUGGUGGCAGCGACUAAUCCCAUGUGUUGUAAUAAUCACACAUAAAUCAAUAACAAGAGAGAGAGAGAGAGAGAGAGAGAGAGAGAGAGAGGAUCACCUUGUGUUUAGGGUGGCUGACUAUUGUUACAAGACAGGGACACUGAAUAGAGCAGCUUUUUGGAUAGGAAUGACUUCACAGUGCAGCAGUGACUUUCUACCUUGGCUAGAAUUGUUGUGCUGAAUAUGUACAACCAAUAAUUAAAGACGUUUUAUGUAAAUGAGAGAGAGAGAGAGAGAGAGAGAGAGAGAGAGAGAGAUUUAGGGCAUCCCACAAGUCGUGGUAGCAAACGAGGCCUAUUCUCUUCGUUAUGGCCGAGAAUUUCAUAGUGUACUCCACUUUAUAUAAUAGAUAAUUCCAUGGUUGGCUUGAAAAAUCUAGGUACACUAUGUAUAUAAUGAACUGUGAGACUUUAAUCAGGUGGGUUUUUGAGGUCUGUGUAGAGUGGUUUAAAAUUUCUCGACCUAAUCUGGCAACACUGCUGAUACUUGUUUGUUUACUCACGGCUCACCCACUCUAGGCCGUCAGCUGGGAGAACAGGAACCAUGAGGGUGUAAAAAGCUGCCGUCGAUAGAAAAAAACAAGGGUUUCAACCCAGACUUGUGGAUCACAUUAUCAUUGUUAAGCUGGGAAUAGAAUGGAUUGGCUAAAAAAGAAGAUAAAACAUGAUAAGAGAACACUCAAAAGAAGUGGUUCGCUGAUAUUAUGUGGCUAUAAAAGAAAAUUAUCCUCCUUAGCUGUGAGGGAUGACAGUUUACCUCAGCUCUGGGCACUGAGAAACUGCUGGGCAGGAGAGCAGUUGUGCCACUCUUAAACUGAACUUGCAGUGGCUGUUUGUAAUUAGCUGACUGAUACAGUGGCAUCAGGCAACAAGUCAAAGGCUGUACUGACAUUUGUAUACUGUGUUGAUCCAUAAGUCUCUCUCACAAACUCCAGAUUAUCAUUUGUGUCUGUUUCCAUUGUGGAGUGCCAAACUGAGGCAGCUCUUGGAAAUGGUCUACAAAAUUUAUUUCUAAAAAGAAUGUAAACAUUUAUGAUAGAUUAUGAUAAACUUGUUUGUUGAUCAUUGUUACUAGUGCAUAAGCUGAUGUGAAAAUGCUAUACAUUGCUAUGUGCAUGAAAACUAUGGAUAACUCAAGGCAUAUCGCCAAACUGUUACCAUCAUCUAGUCAUAGGAUUUGGAAAAAUAUCUUGGUAUAAUGAGGGCUCUAAUGAAAAGCUAUUUCAACUUCGAUGAAAAACUGUUCCAUAUAAAUCAUAGUGAAAGUUUGCUGUAUAUGUACUCAUUAUACAACAGUGUAUCAACAAUUCUUAGCAAGAUGAAUUUCUCAUUCCUGGAAGGGUGCAUGAACUAAUCAGGUUCCCCUUAUCUGUUAUCAGAUAGUAGUGUCAUAAACAAUGUAUUCAUACACACACACACACACACACACACACACACACUUUAAAGAAAAGUUAGAUAAGUGUAGAUAUGGAGACAGGGACACACAAGUAAAAUGCCCAGGUCCUGUAAAACUACAACUAGAUAAAUACAACUAGGUAAAUACACACAGAUAGGUCUGGGAUUUACACUUCGCCUUGGAUAGCCUGUAUCAAAAAUAUCUGCAAUGAAUGUGGCAUGUCAUGGUUAUGGUUAUUACAAGAUGUUCCUAAUGUUAUGUGGGUUAUAAAAGCUGUGCAGUUAAGAUUGAGGGACCAGUGGAUAGCAACUUGGUGAAGUAACCUUGCAACAAAGUCUUUAUGUAGCAAUUAUAGGAUGUUUAAAUUAGAUUAUGGUAUGGAAUGUUACAUUGUAAAACUGCAGAAGACUAGCUGCAUAUUGUUAACAAAGCUGAGAACUCUUAAUAAUAAGUUGCCUGUUAAUGUUGGUAGACAUCAUGGUGUUAGUAGAGAAAACUUGACUUUGCAGUAAAUGUGAUGUGGGUGUUGUUGGUGAUGAAUACCAUGUUUUCUUUGACUGCACCAAUUGGGACAUCGUGAGAUUAAGGAAUACGUAUUUGUCAGAGUGUUUUACGUAUAGGCCAACUUACUUUAAGUAUAUUCUGUUGAUGCAAAGCACAAAUGAGAAGGUUCUUCAAAAUCUGUCUCUGUUUUUGAAGUUAGUAUUGAAUAUGUUUAGAUAAGUACUGAAUGGGUGAGGUAAUUCUUUGUUUAUUGUUAUAUUUGAAAUGUAAAUCAGAGCUGUGCUCCAUACUUUUAUAAAGUCUGACCUACUAAAUUCAUAAAAAUUCAUAAAAUA
Molecule: long non-coding RNA, 2870 nt
Filed under: Portunus trituberculatus (swimming crab)
Lineage: Eukaryota; Metazoa; Arthropoda; Malacostraca; Decapoda; Portunidae
Description: uncharacterized LOC123506871
Source: RNAcentral